RNAcentral lists this ribosomal RNA (478 nucleotides) under uncultured bacterium. RNAcentral describes it as "partial 16S ribosomal RNA". It matches the Rfam family "Bacterial small subunit ribosomal RNA", at positions 28 to 507 of the family's 1533-position model. The record is from RNAcentral.
GAUGAACGCUGGCGGCGUGCUUAACACAUGCAAGUCGAACGAGAAAUGGAGACGGAAACCUUCGGGCGGAAGGCUUCAUUUCGAGUGGCGGACGGGUGAGUAACGCGUGGGUAACCUGCCUCAUACAGGGGGAUAACAGUCGGAAACGACUGCUAAUACCGCAUAAGACCACAGCACCGCAUGGUGCGGGGGUAAAAACUCCGGUGGUAUGAGAUGGACCCGCGUUCGAUUAGCCAGUUGGCGGGGUAACGGCCCACCAAAGCGACGAUCGAUAGCCGAUCUGAGAGGAUGACCGGACACAUUGGGACUGAGACACGGCCCAAACUCCUACGGGAGGCAGCAGUGGGGAAUAUUGCACAAUGGGGGAAACCCUGAUGCAGCGACGCCGCGUGAGUGAAGAAGUACUUCGGUAUGUAAAGCUCUAUAAGCAGGGAAGAAAAUGACGGUACCUGAGUAAGAAGCCCCGGCUAACUACGUG